UCCCAAUUCUUGAAGUUUUAUCGGGCAGG
RNAcentral lists this non-coding RNA (29 nucleotides) under Rattus norvegicus (Norway rat). The record is from RNAcentral. Lineage: Eukaryota; Metazoa; Chordata; Mammalia; Rodentia; Muridae.